GACGAACGCUGGCGGCGUGCCUAAUACAUGCAAGUCGAGCGAUGAAGGAGAUACUUGUAUCUUUUGAAGAGCGGCGAACGGGUGAGUAACGCGUGGGGAAUCCGCCAAUGAGUGGGGGACAACAUUUGGAAACGAAUGCUAAUACCGCAUAAAAUCUAUUGAGACAUCUCAAGAGAUUGAAAGGAACAAUUGUUUCGCUCGUUGAUGAUCCCGCGUUGUAUUAGCUAGUUGGUGAGGUAAGGGCUCACCAAGGCGAUGAUACAUAGCCGAGCUGAGAGGGUGAUCGGCCAACUAGGGACUGAGACACGGCCCAAACUCCUACGGGAGGCAGCAGUAGGGAAUCUUCGGCAAUGGACGAAAGUCUGACCGAGCAACGCCGCGUGAGUGAAGAAGGUUUUCGGAUCGUAAAGCUCUGUUGUUGUUAAAGAACGUUGAUGAGAGUGGAAAGUUCAUCAAGUGACGGUAAACAACCAGAAAGGGACGGCUAACUACGUGCCAGCAGCCGCCGCAG
RNAcentral lists this ribosomal RNA (511 nucleotides) under uncultured bacterium. Its description in RNAcentral is "partial 16S ribosomal RNA". It matches the Rfam family "Bacterial small subunit ribosomal RNA", at positions 28 to 523 of the family's 1533-position model. The record is from RNAcentral.